Molecule: transfer RNA, 73 nt
Filed under: Dermacentor andersoni
Lineage: Eukaryota; Metazoa; Arthropoda; Arachnida; Ixodida; Ixodidae
Description: transfer RNA histidin (anticodon AUG)
Rfam family: tRNA
About the family: Transfer RNA (tRNA) molecules are approximately 80 nucleotides in length. Their secondary structure includes four short double-helical elements and three loops (D, anti-codon, and T loops). Further hydrogen bonds mediate the characteristic L-shaped molecular structure. tRNAs have two regions of fundamental functional importance: the anti-codon, which is responsible for specific mRNA codon recognition, and the 3' end, to which the tRNAs corresponding amino acid is attached (by aminoacyl-tRNA synthetases). tRNAs cope with the degeneracy of the genetic code in two manners: having more than one tRNA (with a specific anti-codon) for a particular amino acid; and 'wobble' base-pairing, i.e. permitting non-standard base-pairing at the 3rd anti-codon position.
Source: RNAcentral
GGCGCGGUAGCUCAAUUGGUUAGAGCAUCGCACGAUGAAUGCGAAGACGUGGGAUCGUUCCCCACCUGCGGCA